AUUGAACGCUGGCGGCAGGCUUAACACAUGCAAGUCGAGCGGUAGCACAGGGGAGCUUGCUCCCUGGGUGACGAGCGGCGGACGGGUGAGUAAUGUCUGGGAAACUGCCUGAUGGAGGGGGAUAACUACUGGAAACGGUAGCUAAUACCGCAUAACGUCGCAAGACCAAAGAGGGGGACCUUCGGGCCUCUUGCCAUCAGAUGUGCCCAGAUGGGAUUAGCUAGUAGGUGGGGUAAUGGCUCACCUAGGCGACGAUCCCUAGCUGGUCUGAGAGGAUGACCAGCCACACUGGAACUGAGACACGGUCCAGACUCCUACGGGAGGCAGCAGUGGGGAAUAUUGCACAAUGGGCGCAAGCCUGAUGCAGCCAUGCCGCGUGUGUGAAGAAGGCCUUCGGGUUGUAAAGCACUUUCAGCGAGGAGGAAGGUGGUGAGCUUAAUACGUUCAUCAAUUGACGUUACUCGCAGAAGAAGCACCGGCUAACUCCG
Molecule: ribosomal RNA, 488 nt
Filed under: uncultured bacterium
Lineage: Bacteria
Description: partial 16S ribosomal RNA
Rfam family: Bacterial small subunit ribosomal RNA
Source: RNAcentral